AAUCCAUAGGUUAAUGAGGCGAACCGGGGGAACUGAAACAUCUAAGUACCCCGAGGAAAAGAAAUCAACCGAGAUUCCCCCAGUAGCGGCGAGCGAACGGGGAGGAGCCCAGAGCCUGAAUCAGCAUGUGUGUUAGUGGAAGCGUCUGGAAAGGCGCGCGAUACAGGGUGACAGCCCCGUACACAAAAGCGCAUGUGCUGUGAGCUCGAUGAGUAGGGCGGGACACGUGGUAUCCUGUCUGAAUAUGGGGGGACCAUCCUCCAAGGCUAAAUACUCCUGACUGACCGAUAGUGAACCAGUACCGUGAGGGAAAGGCGAAAAGAACCCCGGCGAGGGGAGUGAAAAAGAACCUGAAACCGUGUACGUACAAGCAGUGGGAGCCCCACCACCAAAGCAUUUGCUGUACCGCGUUGACGGAGCGAAGCGACGUCAAACCGAUAAAACAGCAGUGUAAAGUGAGCCGCAGGGCGCUUUGCGCGACAGCGCAAAGGCAGGCGGUUUCG
RNAcentral lists this ribosomal RNA (503 nucleotides) under Salmonella enterica subsp. enterica serovar Enteritidis. RNAcentral's name for it is "partial 23S ribosomal RNA". The stretch from base 1 to 366 matches the Rfam family "Bacterial large subunit ribosomal RNA", at positions 161 to 565 of the family's 2925-position model. The record is from RNAcentral. Lineage: Bacteria; Pseudomonadati; Pseudomonadota; Gammaproteobacteria; Enterobacterales; Enterobacteriaceae.